Molecule: non-coding RNA, 6204 nt
Organism: Xyrichtys novacula (pearly razorfish)
Lineage: Eukaryota; Metazoa; Chordata; Actinopteri; Labriformes; Labridae
Source: the annotation of a GenBank genome assembly
GGUUGAGGUUUACGCGUGGGGGCGUAGACCGCUGUGUUUUGCUAUUGUGCGGUCGUUACUAAAGUUGGUAUGACGAGAGAAGCAAACAGUCUGCAACAAUCAUCUCUUGAGUGGGUGUCUAACUCCGUGUUACAUGUGUUUGACCCUAAAUUAAUUUUACACCGGAAUAUCCCUUUAAGUGUCUGUAUCGUGUUUUGAUCCAGCUUCCUUUUAUCACCGCAUGUUAACAUUAGCCUAAACCUCUGCUCCUGCGCCGCAGGUGAGAACUGGUGCAUAAUCUCCUAGAAAAUGAUGUUUGAUGUCCUUCUUCUUUUUUAUUUCAACAACACAGACAGUAACUAGCGCUGUUGUGUUUUAUGCAAAAGUCUAUUAAACAACCCAUGAAUGUAUUUAUUGAUUUUUAUUCAUGUAGCAUCACUUUGCAAUGAGUUACCUUGCUGUGCUGUGCAGAAAGGACUCUUUGUUGUGGUAUUUAAAGCAAACCAUCAUAAACCCUUCGAUUUCUAUGCAGCUGCUGCGGAUGCCAGCUGUAAAAUCAUAGAUGUAUGGCGUCAGAAUGUGAUUAAUCUGGGUUAUUUUGGCAGCCCUGAUGAAAAUAAUGCAAUACAAACUCAUAGGUUUAAGUUUGCACAUGUGUUGUUUUAAAGUCAUUACGUUAAAUGGAAUAAAUUGAGUUUACUUGUUAUUUUACACACAUUUGUGUCUUUAGAGUAAGAUGAGGAACAGCAGGAACACCUGUGGCCCCGUGUAGCCGCCGUGAUUGUGUAAACCUGAGCGCGCAUCUGUGUAUUUUACCCACAUAUGCUGCAGUGAAGAGAUCAGGCUUAUCCGUUGUGACAGUCACUUUUAAGUCCUUUUCGAAACUGGGUGGUUCAAUUUACCACCCUGGCCCCCGACAGCCCCUGUGCCCUGCUCCAGCUGCUCACACACACACACACUCCUUUGAUAGGCUGUUGGACAAACCAUUGACCUUCACUUUGCAAUCUCUGAGGUCGAUCAGUAGGCCAUUCUUCCAUGUAAUGUUUACAUCUCUGCGGCCUAUUUGGCCACAAUGGGGGAGAUUGCCUUUGGUCAACAACCUGUGUCCACAAUGGCCAUUUUGCCAGGCUUGGCUCAGAGGGGGGGAGGCCAUCACAGCAGCACAGCACUGUGUCUCUUUUUUUUUUCGACUUAUUGAAAAGAGUUAGAUUAGGUUGGAGGGGACGAAUCAAAGGCAGAUUCUCUCUGAUAAACUUUCUUUUUUUUCUAAAUCUCCAAUAUAACAUCAUCUGUGGGUCACUUUAGGACGCUGUCCUCAUGAAAACUUAAGUCAGGGCUCUAAAAGACUGGAAAUUUUCAUACCAGCACAAGACCUGAAUGGGGCCUUAUUGUAUUGAGUGUAUAAAUUCAUAUGAGAAAAGAAAUCUCACGACUAAAUCUUGUGCUUUUGAGUAGUUUGGCUGAAUAAAAAUAUGAUUUAAUUAGCUGAAUUCAUGACGAUUAACAUAACUGGUUAUUUUUAAUUGCAGUGCGUGUCGAGCAGUAAAAAAGCAACUUCUUCCUCAGCAUGUUGGGGCUUUUUUUUAGUCUGUUUAACGCUCUAAAGAACAAUUUUAAUCAGAUAUUUCUGGUGUUUUAUUAGAUGUCUGAGGGUAAUAACUGAGAUAAGCAGCUUUAAAGCCAUCGAGUCACUGAAGGCUGACACUGGAGACUUCUGGAAACUCCAAAAACUGUUUUUUUUUCUCUAACUAGGACUAUUUUUGUUUUAUUUUUUCACUAUCCAAAGAGAUAUUAAAACAGAUGCGCUGUCCUUCUCUGCCUUUGCUUUUGUCAAAAACAAAGUAAGGAAAUCAGAGUGCUUUGUAUGAAACUCGUAGGAGUUAAGCACUAAAGGGAACACUGAAACCCAUUCUGUGAUCUGAGGAUGCAUGAAUCAAGAAUCUGAAACACUCAGAUGCCCACAAGUUUCACCCACUUUGAGGAAUUAUUAAUGAGCUCUCACUUCCACUUUUGGAAAAGGCAGUCCUGAUCAAAACCCAAUUUGCAUCUGCUUGACGAUAGUGAAAAUUGUAACAGGCUUAAUUUAUAAUCUCUGAAUUUUCCUCUAAUUUGGCUAAGAUUAGGUGUAAAUCUUCGAGCACUUCUGUUCUGUUGUUUAUGUCGAAUCCCUCGAAAUCCUCUCAAAUCUAUUUGUUCCGCUUUUAUGAUUGUAAAUCUAAAAACUAACAGUCCUAAUCAGACCUGAUAAUGCCGUCAUUUGAGGCUACGGUACUCCUCUGCUGAUGUGAAGACGUUUACACUUAAGUGAGCCGCCAACAUGCGAGUCAUGAAAUAGCAAAUUUCUGUUCCCUCAAAGGACCGCAAAGAUGCAAAAUGGAAAUAUGCGCAUGGCAGCAUCUGUGUGUAUGUGUGUGUGUGUGUGUGUAUGUGUGUGUGUGCUGUAUGAGAUUAGUGAAUCUAUAAAUCUGUGUGUGUGUGUGUGUUAGAGGUGACAGUCUGCCUGUAGAUCCACAGGGACUGAGCUGUGAGCAGGUGCACCGCUCAGUCCUGCAGCCAUGCCAGGACACACAGCCUCACCGUGCCAGAGAUGUCCGGCUUUCAUCCUCCCCCCCUUACCUCUCCAUCUCCCUCUGUCUCACCCUGUCUUUUCUCACUCCUCCCUCCCCGAACUUCCAAACGUCUCUCUUGCUUCCUAAUUUGCCUCCUGUCUUGCUUGUUUUCCCUUUCCUUCUCUUCACUUCCUGGUUCCUUUCACCUCUUUUUGCCCUCAACCAAAAAAAAAAAACCCACUCACAUCCUUCUCAUAUCCCUUGUAGUAAUGCUGUUUGAGUCAUCAUUUAUGAGACUUUGAAGCUUUCUCAAAUCCUUAAGGCUAUAAUGUUUUUGCACUAGAUGAAAAAAAGAAAGAAACAGUGACUUUAAAUUGAUUUAGACUCAUUUGUUUUGGGGGAUUAUCUAUUUGCACACCAUCCUACAGCGAAGUCAGGGCACAACGUGGAUGAUUAAAAUCUGUAUACCUGGGAAAGCACAAAGAUGAUUAUGGUAUUUUAACUGCAGUUGUCACAAACAGUUUCCUCUGUUCGAUUUCUUUUAUGUGAACUCCCAAUCAAACUUGAGUGUCUUGAUUUAUAUGAAGACAUGUAAGCUGAUGCAGUGUUGUUCUGGAUGCUUAAGAAAAUAAUUCGGUAUAAGGGGAUAAUUCCUGCAAAAACACUCAUUAAUAAAGAGGCUGCGAUAUUUUAGCUCGCUGGUAUUUAUUCCAAUUUCUUUUCUAUUUAUGUUUUAUUUGUUUGCUGUUCCUGAAAUAUAAAUAUUUAUAAAGUAUUUUUAUAUAAAAGCAAAAGUCCCUAAUGUGAAUUUCUAAGCAGUACACACUUCUAGUUUCUCUUAUUCAAUGAUGAAGACUAAGGUUUUGUUGUUUUUGUCCUUUUUUUCCCUUAAUUUAAGGCUCAUUUCAUUUCAAGCAAGGGCCAAUAUGUGUGUUUAUCCACAUACAGUACAUGUUCAAUAGGGUGACCAUACAUCCUUUUUUACCCGGACAUGUCCUCUUUUUGGGGCUGUCCGGGCUUGUCUGGCUUUGUCUGGGGAAGUUUAUAAAAUCCUUUGAAUGUCUGAUACACAGCUGAACAGUUCAGGAUUCAGUUCAGAUUAAAGCUUCUGAGACCCGGAGACAAGAAUGUUUGGCUGUGUUGCUUUAGCAAACAGGUUUGUAAAAAUGAACUUUUUUAUAAGUCAUGAUGUUUUAAGUGUACUGUCCUAUAGUAUGCUAUUUACCAGGUCUACCCUGUAAAUUGGGGUCAGUGAGUGAUUCGUUCACUGAACGAUUAGAAGAAUUCACACUGAACAUGCACCGUUUAAACCGAUGCAAUGGUAGGAUGCUGUGGGUUUAAUGCACUACUUGUUACACGCUGUGUCCUAUUGUAUGCAAGUUGUUGUGGUGGCAAUUUAGCACUGAAAAAAAAGGUAGUUUUGUCCGACAAAAAUGAUUCCAGAGAGUGUAGUUCAAUGUGUGAUUCCUUCACCAAGCUCAACUGAAGUGAGAAACGAACAAAUCACUCGAGGAAGAGAUUCGGUUCAGUACGUUCACUUAAAAGAUUUGAUUCUUUUGAACAAAUCAUUUGCAAACGACACAACACUAUUUUGUACAGAAGCUUUGAGUUUGUGUCGUGUGGACUUACUGAGUUAGAAGCGUGUAAAAGACACUCGACCCGACCCGAAACACUCUCAAAAUUAACUUAGUGCGACUCCGUGACUUCCCCCCACAUAGGUGUGUCCUCUUUUUGGGAAGUCAGAAUAUGGAAGUCACCCUAAUGCUCAAAUGCUGUCCCGUUUAGAAACAGUUGAAGUAGAAGUCGAGUCUGCUGCUAAACUGAUUGGCAUGUUUUUUUGUUUUUUUUUUAAACUUGGAACAACUGGGGACAAAACACAGUGAAUUUAUUAGACUAGUUAAAGUACACAUAUGUGUCGAAACAAACAGCUGUUGAAGCUGGAUGACAGCUGGUCCAGGUGAUCAACACAUGCUGGUGUUGCUUUAUGUGACGCUCUGGAGGAAAGGAGGUCCCCAGUCCCUCAAAACAAAUUCCAUCGUUCACUCUCUCCUUCUCUCCAGUGUUUGAGACCAAGACUUGAGCGAACAGAGCAAGUGAGGGACGCGGGUGUGGAGUUUAAUGGUUUUGAGACGAAGCCAGUUGAUGGUGUUGCUGUUAGCAUGCUAGAGGCAAUGUUAGCAAACAAAGUGAUUCAGCCACUCAAUUCAAGAUGUCUGCUGAGUUAAAAUUCCAAUUAAAUUUGGGUGGUUUGCAGGUAUUUUCGACUCUAGUAGUCACCAGCUGUGAUCCCCUGCAGCAGAAAUAAUGAAUUUAACCACUUAGAGAGCCACAGCCUGCAUUUAUGCACAGUGCACAGCUGUAGCUUCAUUAUUGGCUUAAAUCUCCAGACAUGUAUAAAAGAUUGAUUUCCCUUAAUUCUGAAUAGUCCCAUACAGACAGUUGGGGCUAAUAAAGGCUGGAGUUUAGGGUAAAAUAAUAGCCUACUCUUUAAAAAAGGAGAAUUUGACUCAAAUUUAGACAAUAGAAACUCGAAUGAGGUUUUCUUAAAGGGUUAUUCCGGUGUAAAAUUAAGUUAGGGUCAAACACACCGUAACAACCAGUUAGACACCCCUGCGAAAGAUGAAUGUUGCCGAACGCUUGCUUCUCUCGUCAUACCAACUUUGGUAACGACCACACGAUAGCAAUACACAGCGGUCUAGGUCUCCACAUGCAAACCUGGUCUUCAUCAACAUUACAUAUAGGGUCUAACCAUAGUCCCUGAUGAGUUGAUCACCGAGUGCAGCGGGGUUUCACAGCUCAAGGAAGAACAUUUAUUAUUAUUACUUCAUGGAAAUGCAAUCAGACCGAGACGCUAAGGCAGAAGAACUACUGCGCCUGCAGUGCAAAAUGAUUAAUAUGAUGAUUAUUAAUUCAUGGAAAUAAACUGCUGCACUUGGUGAUCAACUCAUCAAGGCUCCCCCACAAACAAGCGGCUGCUGGAGGAGAGUGGGUGAGUUGUGUUAGUCUCUUUAUUAAAGAAAUCAGGCAAAGCUAAAAAGAUGUUUGGUGGCUAGUACUAUGGCUGGGACCCUAUAUGUACUGUUGAUGAAGUUAGGUGCUGUUCUGAGCAUUAUUUGUGGCUACAGAGUGGCGUUUUGGUUGAGUGUACGGGUGGAGUGAGGGACUGUUGUGUAUUGCUAUCCUGCGGUCGUUGCUGAAGUUGGUAUAACUAGUGAAGCAAGCGGUCAGCAACAUUUAUCUCUCGCAGGGGUGUCUAACUCGGUGUUACGGUGUGUUUGACCAUAACGCUGGAAUAUCCUUUUAAGGUGUAGUGACUAAUCUACAACAAAAUAACAGUUUUUGGCCACGUUUAAAAGCACCAGACUCAGAUAGACAGAAACGUUGAUGAUUUCCUCUUCCUGCCAUCCAAGCUCCGCCCAUUCAAUACCAAAUUUCCCAGCUCCCUGUUGUCUUCCAAGCCUCCCCACAUAUAUUAAAACCUUCCAACAGUCACAGCCACCUGGUUUAUAGCCUCACUCCAUCUUCACCACAUGUCAGCACACACACAAACACACACACAAACACACACACACUCACAGCCAUGCCCACUAAUUUAGCCACACAGGCUGGACCCCAGAAUCUAAUCAGACCUUCCCACUGAAUUCAACCUGUGCUCUGCUCGUCUGCUGCCAGCUCC